GUGAGUCAUCGAAUCUUUGAACGCACAUUGCGCCCCUCGGUACUCCGGGGGGCAUGCCUGUCCGAGCGUCAUUGAAAACUUAUCAAGCCUGGCUUGGUCUUGGGCGUGGUCUGAGGACCCGCCCGCAACCCGUCGGCGGUGCCGGUUCGGUCCUGAGCGUAGCAAGAUACUCGUUCAGACGCCGCGUCGGCGCCCGCUAGGAGCCUACAUCUACAGUUUGACCUCGGAUCAGGUAGGGAUACCCGCUGAACUUAAGCAUAUCAAUAAGCGGAGGA
RNAcentral lists this unclassified non-coding RNA (275 nucleotides) under Dothideomycetes sp. Its description in RNAcentral is "partial contains 5.8S ribosomal RNA, internal transcribed spacer 2, and large subunit ribosomal RNA". The stretch from base 1 to 71 matches the Rfam family "5.8S ribosomal RNA", at positions 84 to 154 of the family's 154-position model. Lineage: Eukaryota; Fungi; Ascomycota; Dothideomycetes. The record is from RNAcentral.